AAAUUCCUCAGUGUUGAAACCUAGGUGGAGGUUCUGAUGGAUUCCACUGGUGAUAUGAACUCUCAAAUGAUUGUGAAUGUCUGAGAAUAAACAGAUGCAGUCCUUUUCACAAGCAAGGCAAGGUCCACAACUCCACAGCAUCCUGGCAUUAUUUAUUCAUCAUGAGGAGGGCGCAUGAACAUGGAUCCUGCAGAAAAAUCAAAUCAGUGUUCAUUCUGUCGAGCAGCUGCCUCUGGAACAGAAUAAGCCUUUGGAUCUGACUUUGGUAACUGGACAAUUAGAGAUGUUAUUAAAUUGAAGAUGCAAAUGAGUAACGCUGUUUUCUUCUGAGUUUGCUGUGUUUCACUUGUAGUGCUUAAAUUAAAACCAGCUCCAAAAUUUGUAAGAGCUGACUCCUGACAGCUCAGAACAGUUCUGGGCUAGUUCAUGUAUCAGUAAUUUCAUUGAAAAUAUUUACAUAUCAGUUAACCUCAAAGGACCAAAUCUGUACUUUUUCACAUUCGCAGAUUAAAUGGAUUUAGUGACAAAGUUAUCAUGUUUGUGGUGCCUUGCACUGAAGAUUUGUCCACAAGCAGAGAUUCAGAUAGUGUGAAACACAAGCUUUUACACCUAUAAUAUAAGUUAAUGUGUUAAUAAGUGUAAGUAUG
This 647-nucleotide long non-coding RNA is filed under the name Ovis aries (sheep). RNAcentral describes it as "lncRNA (ENSOARG00000025794.1)". Lineage: Eukaryota; Metazoa; Chordata; Mammalia; Artiodactyla; Bovidae. The record is from RNAcentral.